RNAcentral lists this unclassified non-coding RNA (362 nucleotides) under fungal sp. RNAcentral's name for it is "partial internal transcribed spacer region". The stretch from base 1 to 45 matches the Rfam family "Eukaryotic small subunit ribosomal RNA", at positions 1786 to 1831 of the family's 1831-position model. Lineage: Eukaryota; Fungi. The record is from RNAcentral.
AAGUCGUAACAAGGUUCCGUAGGUGAACCUGCGGAAGGAUCAUUAGUAUCCAACGUAAAAAACCCCCCUGUGAACAUUUCUCGUAGCCCAGUGCGAUCCAGCAAUCCCGGUAAAUCAUUGUCGAACAGCUUUUGAUUCGGGACUUCUGACAAAUGAGAAGUUACAGUUACGAUUGCCCGAAGCAGUCAGUGUCUGAAAGUGUCAUUGAUUGUCUAAGGAUCUCGCCUCAGAGGUCGCUCGACCGGCAGACAUGCAACCGGGUCCCCACGCCCCUUUACAACCCGAUACCUCUGUGAGUCUAGGCGGACGCACUAGGCUAAAAAAACCUCGAACAACUGUUAACAAUGGAUAUCUUGGUUCUC